CUACGGGGGGCACCAGUGAGGAAUAUUGCACAAUGGGGGGAACCCUGACGCAGCAACGCCGCGUGGAGGAUGACGCAUUUCGGUGUGUAAACUCCUUUUAUAUGUCAAGAAAAUGACGGUAGCAUAUGUAUAAGCACCGGCUGAACUCCGUGCCAGCAGCCGCGGUAAUACGGAGGGUGCAAGCGUUACUCGGAAUCACUGGGCGUAAAGGACGCGUAGGCGGGUUGGAAAGUCAGGUGUGAAAUCCUACAGCUUAACUGUAGAACUGCACUUGAAACUUCUAAUCUAGAGUAUGGGAGGGGGAGAUGGAAUUAGUGGUGUAGGGGUAAAAUCCGUAGAUAUCACUAGGAAUACCUAAAGCGAAGGCGAUCUCCUGGAACAUUACUGACGCUAAGGCGUGAAAGCGUGGGGAGCAAACAGGAUUAGAUACCCGGGUAGUC
RNAcentral lists this ribosomal RNA (440 nucleotides) under uncultured bacterium. RNAcentral describes it as "partial 16S ribosomal RNA". It matches the Rfam family "Bacterial small subunit ribosomal RNA", at positions 339 to 795 of the family's 1533-position model. The record is from RNAcentral.